RNAcentral lists this ribosomal RNA (521 nucleotides) under Salmonella enterica. RNAcentral's name for it is "bacterial SSU rRNA". It matches the Rfam family "Bacterial small subunit ribosomal RNA", at positions 1012 to 1533 of the family's 1533-position model. Lineage: Bacteria; Pseudomonadati; Pseudomonadota; Gammaproteobacteria; Enterobacterales; Enterobacteriaceae. The record is from RNAcentral. RNAcentral also lists the same sequence under 2 other names.
UGGUGCCUUCGGGAACUGUGAGACAGGUGCUGCAUGGCUGUCGUCAGCUCGUGUUGUGAAAUGUUGGGUUAAGUCCCGCAACGAGCGCAACCCUUAUCCUUUGUUGCCAGCGGUUAGGCCGGGAACUCAAAGGAGACUGCCAGUGAUAAACUGGAGGAAGGUGGGGAUGACGUCAAGUCAUCAUGGCCCUUACGACCAGGGCUACACACGUGCUACAAUGGCGCAUACAAAGAGAAGCGACCUCGCGAGAGCAAGCGGACCUCAUAAAGUGCGUCGUAGUCCGGAUUGGAGUCUGCAACUCGACUCCAUGAAGUCGGAAUCGCUAGUAAUCGUGGAUCAGAAUGCCACGGUGAAUACGUUCCCGGGCCUUGUACACACCGCCCGUCACACCAUGGGAGUGGGUUGCAAAAGAAGUAGGUAGCUUAACCUUCGGGAGGGCGCUUACCACUUUGUGAUUCAUGACUGGGGUGAAGUCGUAACAAGGUAACCGUAGGGGAACCUGCGGUUGGAUCACCUCCUUA